GGCGAUUCCUCUCCGCUCUCCAAGCCGUUACUCAGCACCCAAAUCUUAAAACUUCCAAAUUUUCAAUCCCUCCAUAAAAUUUCUACAAAAUUAAGAAACCCAUUACCCAAAUCAAAUAUUUCAUCUCAUAAAAAUUGUUUUACUUCACAAUGGCUUUUGAACUGGACAACUGGUAAGUAUUUUCGGUUUCAAAAUUCAAAGUUUAGUAACUUUAGUUUCUUAGAUUUUAUUACUUGGACCAUCUUUUAUAUAUAUUUUUCAUUAAUAAUUUAAUAUUGAUUAUUGAGUAUGAGUUUUUGAAAAAUUCAAGUUUUUUUUGUUUGCAGUUUGCAGUUUGUUGAAAUGGCCUGAUGAUUUUUAUUUUAUUUUUUUAGUACUUGAGCAUUUUUAAAAUUUUCUGAUUUGAGAAUUCAAUUGAUAUUAAUUUUGACAACAGCUUUUCGCCUUAAUUAGAUUGUGGAGUAAAAGUUUAUUCUAAAUUGUAAUGCAGAAUUCUUCUACAUCAUCAGGCUUAAUUGAAUUAUUUUUAAAUUUCAAAAUGCGGUAAAUAUUUCACGGCACAAAUAUAGACCCCCCAGACAUGUAGGAAAGGGAAACUACAAAAGUUUAAAUAUACUCCCUAGUAAGUAAAUGUCGUCGUCUCCCUACUUGUGUCCUUGUCGGCAAAAUAUUGAAAUUG
This 679-nucleotide long non-coding RNA is filed under the name Olea europaea (common olive). Its description in RNAcentral is "long non-coding RNA (OEUR_LNC009611)". The record is from RNAcentral. Lineage: Eukaryota; Viridiplantae; Streptophyta; Magnoliopsida; Lamiales; Oleaceae.